Molecule: ribosomal RNA, 839 nt
Filed under: uncultured archaeon
Lineage: Archaea
Description: bacterial SSU rRNA
Rfam family: Archaeal small subunit ribosomal RNA
Source: RNAcentral
AGGUUACUGCUAUCGGUGUUCGCCUAAGCCAUGCGAGUCAUAUGUUCUUCGUGAACAUGGCGUAUUGCUCAGUAACACGUGGAUAACCUGCCCUUGGGUCCGGCAUAACCCCGGGAAACUGGGGAUAAUUCCGGAUAACGCACAUAUGCCGGAAUGCUUUAUGCGUCAAAUGGAUUCAUCCGCCCAAGGAUGGGUCUGCGGCCUAUCAGGUAGUAGUGGGUGUAAUGUACCUACUAGCCUACGACGGGUACGGGUUGUGAGAGCAAGAGCCCGGAGAUGGAUUCUGAGACAUGAAUCCAGGCCCUACGGGGCGCAGCAGGCGCGAAAACUUUACAAUGCGGGAAACCGUGAUAAGGGGACACCGAGUGCCAGCAUCAUAUGCUGGCUGUCCAGGUGUGUAAAAUACACCUGUUAGCAAGGGCCGGGCAAGACCGGUGCCAGCCGCCGCGGUAACACCGGCGGCCCGAGUGGUGAUCGUGAUUAUUGGGUCUAAAGGGUCCGUAGCCGGUUUGGUCAGUCCUCCGGGAAAUCUGACGGCUUAACCGUUAGGCUUUCGGGGGAUACUGCCAGACUUGGAACCGGGAGAGGUAAGAGGUACUACAGGGGUAGGAGUGAAAUCUUGUAAUCCCUGUGGGACCACCUGUGGCGAAGGCGUCUUACCAGAACGGGUUCGACGGUGAGGGACGAAAGCUGGGGGCACGAACCGGAUUAGAUACCCGGGUAGUCCCAGCCGUAAACGAUGCUCGCUAGGUGUCAGGCAUGGCGCGACCGUGUCUGGUGCCGCAGGGAAGCCGUGAAGCGAGCCACCUGGGAAGUACGGCCGCAAGGCUGAAACUUAA